UAGGGAAUCUUCCACAAUGGACGCAAGUCUGAUGGAGCAACGCCGCGUGAGUGAAGAGGGUUUUCGGAUCGUAAAGCUCUGUUGUUGGUGAAGAAGGAUAGAGGUAGUAACUGGCCUUUAUUUGACGGUAAUCAACCAGAAAGUCACGGCUAACUACGUGCCAGCAGCCGCGGUAAUACGUAGGUGGCAAGCGUUGUCCGGAUUUAUUGGGCGUAAAGCGAGCGCAGGCGGAAGAAUAAGUCUGAUGUGAAAGCCCUCGGCUUAACCGAGGAACUGCAUCGGAAACUGUUUUUCUUGAGUGCAGAAGAGGAGAGUGGAAUUCCAUGUGUAGCGGUGGAAUGCGUAGAUAUAUGGAAGAACACCAGUGGCGAAGGCGACUCUCUGGUCUGCAACUGACGCUGAGGCUCGAAAGCAUGGGUAGCGAACAGG
This 429-nucleotide ribosomal RNA is filed under the name bacterium. Its description in RNAcentral is "partial 16S ribosomal RNA". It matches the Rfam family "Bacterial small subunit ribosomal RNA", at positions 355 to 776 of the family's 1533-position model. The record is from RNAcentral.